GUAGGGACUGCUGCAGUAGCCUACAACAAGCCAUCCUCUUCCAAGGCUAAGCCGCAAGGCAAAGGCAAAGGGAAGGAGAAGAAGUCUCCCACUCCUAAGCCGCAAGGAGGAGUGAGGAAAAAGAAGGCAAAGGAGCCCAAGGGGACUUGCCACCACUGUGGAAAGGAGGGGCAUUGGAAGAGGAAUUGCAGGUUAUACCUUGCAACUCUUAAGGACAAGCCACAAGGUAUGGUUUAUGUUCUUAUCUUCAAUUCUAAUUGUUAGAUCUUCUAAAUAUUUAUAUUUGAUAUAAAGGGCUAAUCACUUGUAUAAAUGUAUAUAGGUAGAGGAGCCAAGUAGAAGAGGAACAAGCAAAGAGAAGUGUGGAGAAGGGUUCGGCCACCAUGUUUUUUUGCUAACUACUUAGGAAGUUUGUUAGGCAUUAAAGAUAGUCUUUAAACUUUCUUAUUUUGUUAAGAACUUAAUGUGGCUUCAUAUGAUGGAAGAUCACUAUUAGUGCCUAAAUAUAUAAAGGUAUUUAUAUUAGUCUCUAAAUGUAUAGAGCUAAUACUUUUUGUAUUAAACAUUAUGAAUGUUUGAAUUAUCAUAUUAAUGUAAUGUGAUGUAUACCUUCUAAUAUAUUAUUUCCUUAAAAGUAGUGUUAUGAAUUGAAUAUUGUCUUGUUGUAUCCUAGUUGAGAUACAAGAUUUAUAUCACUUAUUGUAAUGUGAUAAACCAAAUUUUAGACUUAUCAAUUAUGGAUAGAUCUCACAUGUAGAUCAUAGAAGGAUAUAAUGAAUCUUUAGAUUUGGUUCCAAUUGUCUACCUAUGAGUUCUAUAUGAAUUGACAAAGGUCAAGAGAUUCCUUUCUUGAAGAAAAGGAAGAUCACAUUAUAAUGAUAUAAGUAAUAAGAAAAACGUUUCUUAUAUGGUUAUCACUUAGAACACAAUAAUCAAGAUCACUCUUGAUUCAAUUAGUAGUUUUGAACAACUAAUUGGGCAUUCUUUAAAUUGUUUUAAAAUGUCAAUUGUGUUAGUGAUUAAACCAAGAAAGAAGUGUCUAAAUCUAUAAAAUGUUUAAAGACUUUAGUCACUUAUUAACGAGACAUUAACUUAGUGAAGAUUGAAACAAACGAGCUUGAAAGGUUUUAAAGCCACUACACAAUGUCUUCUACCCGUAUACUCCACGUUUAUACAUUUUGAAUGUAUGAAGUGAUUUCUCAUUAAAAUCAUGAGAAAUAGUGGGAGGUGUGAAAAUGGAUAUAAACUUGAAUAUGAUUGGUUUAUAGUUGUCAAAAGAAUAAUAGUACUUGACUAUUAUUGAGAGUUUGUGACUUUAAUUGUUAAAAGACUCAAGCUCUUCAAAUGUUAAAAUUCCAUGUUGUGUAACAUUCUAAAGAAUAGUCUAUUAAUGUUGGUUUCGUCAACCUAGCAUAAAAUGGUUAUAUGUUGGGAGUUGUCCAUCAUUCUCUUUUAUGAGAACAAGCUAAUAACAAAGCAUAUGGACAAGUUGAUGAAACAAAAGAUAAUAGUCUUUGAAUGUUGGUUUCGUCAACCUAGCAUAAAAUGGUUAUAUGUUGGGAGUUGUCCAUCAUUCUCUUUUAUGAGAACAAGAUAAUAACAAAGCAUUUGGACAAGUUGAUGAAACAAAAGGGAAUAGUUUCAAAAUGAGUCACAACAUAUGGUUUAACAACAAGACAAUCCAAAUUCAAUAUCUCAUGUAACUAUAACGCUCUAUGUAGUUUUGAUAAUGAAUUAUAUCAACCACCUAGAAGGAAUGGUUGAGUUUCUAUAUCCUUAGUAGGAGUCAUGCUUCCACUAAAGACUUGGAUAAUUCUUAUAUGACUACAUUAAAAGAUCUUAGUAUGACUAAAACUUGAAGUAUGGUGUAUGACACCAUAUAAUUUAAAUGAAUAGACUUGAUAAAGCAAGUUACACAUUUCAAAUGGAAUUACUUGAGAAGGAAUUCUUUUGUGUAUGAUUCGUUUAAAUAACUUGUGUUAGCUAGUGUUGUUGAUAGUCUCAAAAUUGUUGAGACAUCAUCAAUAAGCUAAUGGAUCUCAAUGAUUGUCAAUGGAUCCAAGACAAGUUAGUGGGAGCAGUAUGCAUUCAAAUCAAGAAAAUAUAAUCGUUAAGUUUUUGAAUGAAUGCUAAGUUACAACAAGGCCAGUGGGAGUGAUGUCAUAUUUUGAGCAACAAGAUAUGAAUAAAGUCUAUUUGAUAGACUUGAUAAAACAUAAAUGUUACUCGAAAAAUGACAAAAAAGUGACACGGUCAAUUUUAAAGUUUAGAAUUGGACUUAUUGAUGUAGCAAGGCUAUCUCAAGGAUAUUAUUUGGGAAAUUAAAUCUCAAAUGUUGAAGAUUUAGGAAAGAAUUUUCCUAUAUGAUAGAAAAUCACUUUCGUAACCCUUAUAAUGAUUGUGUCAUAAAAUCACAAAAAGGGACACAUGUAUGGACUUGUAAAGUAGAUACCCAAAAGUGUAGAACCACAGGGCUUGUCACUUUAAGAUAUUACUAUAUCCCAGGAUCAGAACCAAAGCAACUGAUAGAGUAUUAUUGCCUUUAAGAAAGGAACAUCAGAGUGGGACUCUGGAAGCGUGCGUUCACUUAGGUUAUUAACCAAAGUGAAAAAAAUAACCCAUUUUAACAAAUGGAACUUCAUAAUGGAUGAAGUACUAAUCAUAUGAAUGUAUUGUAAGUAUUGUACUACAAUGGUCUCAAGGUUGGAGCAAAAUUUGUAUAAAGUAUACAAACGAAAUAUAUAAUGAUAUAUUGUUUUAGAAACUGCUUCAAAAGGUGUUUUGAAUGGAAAGAGUUCUUUUAGAACCAAUGAUUGAAUCCAAACCAUAAGGUCGUUAGUAGGAUACUACGACGUAAUGGGGCGAUAGCUCAAGCCAUGGAAUCGAGGUCUCAUCAAAGUAUUCGAACACAAGAAAGAGAUAUCAUCAAAUGUUUUGGAAACAUUUGAUAAAUGAAUCCUUUUAAAUAAAAAGGGAUUAAUACAUAACCAAGUUAACCUACGAGCAUAAGCUCUCUCAACUAGCUUGUAUAAGAUACACUAGUGAUUGACUUUAGUGCAAGUGGGAGAUUGUUGGAAAUAUGCCCUGAAAGUCAAUCUUUGGAAGAAACCUUUCAGGACAAAUGAAUGGAUGUAUAGAUGACUAUUAUACAUCAAAUGGCAAAGAUACUAAUUAGGACUAUCUCAAUGAACGAUAUAUGUCCUAAAUAGCGAAUCAAUGGACAAUGGAUCGAUUGAAGAAGUAAUCUAAUGAUGUUAGACUACAGAGACCUUCUUCACAUAACCGUCAUGUCCAAAAGGUUCCUGGUCAUAGGAUUGUCGAAGGGAAACUGACAAUGCAUAGACCGGUACAUACUAUGUCUGCUUCAAUUGGAAGGAUGGAAAGUCUCAUCCCAUUCGUGUAGUGACACUAAGACAAGUAUGUAGGUGCUUAUUAAGGGAAUGAGUUCACUGAACACAAUCGAACGAGAGUACUUGCAUUGAGGUCUACUCACAUGUCAAGCAAGUAACUCUUAUGGUUGGAAUAAUGUAAGUAGUCCUUUGACCUGAAGCAUCGUCGUUGUCUUGUGGUUAAGUACUUGAUCUUUGAUUAUGUUAAAGUCACCCAAUUCGCGGGUGUCCACGGCAUAGUUGGGGUUAAGCCACUUAGUCAUGAAGGCAAGUGAAUGCGCAACAAGGAAUCUCUAAUCUUCGUUAAGAGAGGAAGAAUACUCUAAGAUAUGAUUCGGGAAUCUUCGACCGAAGUAUCGAGCGUAAUAAAGGAAAGCGUUCCUGUACGACUCAAUUGAAUCAUAUAAGAAGGAAUAAUCACAAUAGGGGUUUGACAUAAUAUAUCCAUACCCUAGUGAUGUGAUUGAGAGUAUUGUUUUAGAGAAUGAUUGAAUUACAUUGUAAUUCCAACUGAAUAGGUUCUCCGAACAAAUUCUACAUUAGCUUGGGUAGCCAUAAUAUAUAUGGUUAGAUGUCACUCAUGGCUUGUGAGUUCUUCUAGAUGAUUAAAUGUAGUAGUCAAAGAAGAAGGUGAAUUAAAAGUAAGUUUUAAUUCACUACGUGAUUGGAUUAAAUAUAAUCAAUUGGAUUGAUGCCAAUCACCUCACUGCUUUGCUAAUUAGAACCUAAAAUGAUUGUUCACCAAUACACUCUUGUAGUGAGUAAUUAAUGGAUGAUGGAAAUAAUUAAUUGGAUUAAUUAAGUG
Molecule: long non-coding RNA, 4194 nt
Filed under: Malus domestica (apple)
Lineage: Eukaryota; Viridiplantae; Streptophyta; Magnoliopsida; Rosales; Rosaceae
Description: long non-coding RNA (MDOM_LNC017027)
Source: RNAcentral